Molecule: ribosomal RNA, 566 nt
Filed under: uncultured bacterium
Lineage: Bacteria
Description: bacterial SSU rRNA
Rfam family: Bacterial small subunit ribosomal RNA
Source: RNAcentral
GAAAUCCGGAUUAAUACCGCAUACGCCCUACGGGGGAAAGCUGGGGAUCUUCGGACCUGGCACUAGUAGAUGAGCCCGCGUUGGAUUAGCUUGUUGGUGGGGUAAUGGCCUACCAAGGCAACGAUCCAUAGCUGUUCUGAGAGGAAGAUCAGCCACACUGGGACUGAGACACGGCCCAGACCCCUACGGGAGGCAGCAGUGGGGAAUAUUGCACAAUGGGCGCAAGCCUGAUGCAGCAAUACCGCGUGUGUGAAGAAGGCCCGAGGGUUGUAAAGCACUUUCAAUCGUGAAGAAAAGCUCAGGGUUAAUAACCCUGGGUCUUGACAUUAUCGAUACAAGAAGCACCGGCUAACUCCGUGCCAGCAGCCGCGGUAAUACGGAGGGUGCAAGCGUUAAUCGGAAUUACUGGGCGUAAAGCGUGCGUAGGCGGUUUACUAAGUCAGAUGUGAAAGCCCCGGGCUUAACCUGGGAACUGCAUUUGAUACUGGUAGGCUAGAGUAUGAUAGAGGGGGGUAGAAUUCCUGGUGUAGCGGUGAAAUGCGUAGAUAUCAGGAGGAAUACCAGUG